CUACGGGAGGCACCAGUAGGGAAUUUUCCGCAAUGGGCGCAAGCCUGACGGAGCAACGCCGCGUGCACGACGAAGGCCUUCGGGUCGUAAAGUGCUGUCAGAUGGGAAGAAGGCUUUUAUAUCGAAUAGGUAUAGAGGUUUGACGGUACCAUCAGAGGAAGCCACGGCUAAUUACGUGCCAGCAGCCGCGGUAAUACGUAAGUGGCAAGCGUUAUCCGGAAUCACUGGGUGUAAAGGGUGUGUAGGCAGUUUUUUAAGUCACGUGUUAAAUUCCACGGCUCAACCGUGGGUCAGCGCGUGAAACUGGAAGGCUUGAGUAGCAGAGAGGUAACUGGAAUUCCUGGUGUAGCGGUGAAAUGUGUAGAUAUCAGGAAGAACACCAAUGGCGAAGGCAGGUUACUGGCUGUUUACUGACGCUGAGACACGAAAGCAUGGGGAGCAAACAGGAUUAGAUACCCCAGUAGUC
RNAcentral lists this ribosomal RNA (466 nucleotides) under uncultured bacterium. Its description in RNAcentral is "partial 16S ribosomal RNA". It matches the Rfam family "Bacterial small subunit ribosomal RNA", at positions 339 to 795 of the family's 1533-position model. The record is from RNAcentral.